AAGAAAGUGGCAGAGCGGUUAUGUAGUUGGCUUGAAACCAUCUCACGGGGGUUCAACUCCUCCCUUUCUCG
This 71-nucleotide transfer RNA is filed under the name Nemipterus balinensoides. Its description in RNAcentral is "tRNA-Ser". It matches the Rfam family "tRNA". Rfam says of the family: Transfer RNA (tRNA) molecules are approximately 80 nucleotides in length. Their secondary structure includes four short double-helical elements and three loops (D, anti-codon, and T loops). The record is from RNAcentral. Lineage: Eukaryota; Metazoa; Chordata; Actinopteri; Spariformes; Nemipteridae.